This 228-nucleotide ribosomal RNA is filed under the name uncultured bacterium. RNAcentral describes it as "partial 16S ribosomal RNA". It matches the Rfam family "Bacterial small subunit ribosomal RNA", at positions 568 to 795 of the family's 1533-position model. The record is from RNAcentral.
UGCGUAGGCGGGAGAUUAAGUCAGUGGUGAAAUCCUGCAGCUUAACUGUAGAACUGCCAUUGAUACUGGUUUCCCUGAGUAUAGUUGAAGUGGGCGGAAUGUGUAUUGUAGCGGUGAAAUGCUUAGAUAUUACACAGAACACCUAUUGCGAAGGCAGCUCACUAAACUAAUACUGACGCUGAGGCACGAAAGCGUGGGGAGCAAACAGGAUUAGAUACCCUGGUAGUC